RNAcentral lists this ribosomal RNA (447 nucleotides) under uncultured bacterium. RNAcentral's name for it is "partial 16S ribosomal RNA". It matches the Rfam family "Bacterial small subunit ribosomal RNA", at positions 330 to 794 of the family's 1533-position model. The record is from RNAcentral.
UCCAGACUCCUACGAGAGGCAGCAGUGGGGGAUAUUGCACAAUGGGGGGAACCCUGAUGCAGCGACGCCGCGUGGGUGAAGGAGCGUUUCGGCGCGUAAAGCCCUAUCAGCAGGGAAGAAAAUGACGGUACCUGACUAAGAAGCCCGGGCUAACUACGUGCCAGCAGCCGCGGUAAUACGUAGGGGGCAAGCGUUAUCCGGAAUUACUGGGUGUAAAGGGAGCGCAGGCGGCAGUGCAAGUCUGGAGUGAAAGCCCGUGGCUUAACCACGGGACUGCUCUGGAAACUGUGCAGCUAGAGUGCAGGAGAGGCAGGCGGAAUUCCUAGUGUAGCGGUGAAAUGCGUAGAUAUUAGGAGGAACACCAGUGGCGAAGGCGGCCUGCUGGACGAUGACUGACGCUGAGGCUCGAAAGCGUGGGGAGCAAACAGGAUUAGAUACCCUAGUAAA